AGCGGGUAAGGUGUUUAUGGAUACAUGCAAGCCUUCCAAGUUUGAGUAGACCGGAUCGUUACCGGCUACCCGCUCCAA
RNAcentral lists this transfer RNA (78 nucleotides) under Aeromonas phage AP1. RNAcentral describes it as "tRNA-Gly". Lineage: Duplodnaviria; Heunggongvirae; Uroviricota; Caudoviricetes; Pantevenvirales; Straboviridae. The record is from RNAcentral.